AUUUUCAUCUAAAUCCAUGGCGUCCAUAAAUUUCAUGGGCAAUUUUUGCCUCCUGAUUUCCGCUUCACUCCCCACCGGUCGAUGAACGCGGACAUUAACUGGAUGACAAAGUUGUAUAAUCGGCCACGACACCCAACUCUCCACCAAACAAUCCGUCUCUGUUCCGAAGAAAAGAAAAAGAAGAAUGGCUUCAGCAACUGAUGAAGAGACCUCUCCUAAAAGACAAUGUAUGGAAACCUCUUCCUCUUCCUCAGCUUUGGUAGUCUCGGAGGCACAAUCAUGCUUAGCCGGAGGAGUUAGGGUGGCGACACAGCAGAUUCAUGGAUUGCUCCUUUUUGAUCUGUCAAAUAUUCAAUGAUAAAAUUAUGGGGUACUCCAUUAAAAAUUAGUAUUUAAUCAUACAGUAAUCACUGCUUCUAAUGGAAUUUCCUUAACACAUAAAACGGUGCGUUUUAUCUAAAGGAGGCCGCUUUCUCCUUCACCCAACCCUAGUUCUCUGGCUGUUCUUUUCCAAAAAAAUCUCAGUAGAACCCUUUUCUUUACUUUCCGUGAAGAAAUUUUUGCUUGGGAUAUAGAGAGGAGGAAUGGAUAUGGGAGGAGAAAUUGAAGAAGAAGAGAUGUCUUCUAGGCGCAUUCAAGUGCGCUUUGUCACGAAACUGAAAGAUCCCUACAAAGUUCCCAAUGCUUCCAUCUCAAUUCCCACAAACCUCACCCGCUAUGGACUAUCUAUCGUCGUGAACAAUCUCCUCCAAUCCGGGAAUUCUGAUUGGCAAUCCGAGCCUUUUGACUUUCUGAUUGAUGGCGAGCUGGUUCGAAUGUCUCUGGAGAAAUUCUUAUCUGCCAAGGGAAUUUCCUUGGAGAAGAUAUUGGAAAUUGAGUAUGUACAAGCUGUGGCCCCAAGGAAAGAGGAAGAGCCUUCUUUCCAUGAUGACUGGGUCAGUGCGGUAGAUGGUUCUAGUUCACGGUUCAUUUUGACAGGGUCCUAUGACUGUUUAGGGAGGGUGUGGAAAAGUGCUGGAUUGUGUGGCCAUGUGUUAGAAGGACACAGUAAUGCUGUUACCGCUGUUAGUAUCACAACACCGGAAGAUGUUGAAGCAGUUACUGUAGCCACUGCUUCAAAAGAUCGGUCCCUGAGACUCUGGAAGUUCAAUACAGGGGAUCCCCAAGAUUAUCCUAUGAAGAUGCAUGCGUUCAAAAUUUUGCGUGACCAUAGGGCAUCUGUACAGAGUGUUGCAGCAAAUGCUUCUGGCAACAUGGUUUGUUCUGGUUCCUGGGAUUGUACAAUAAAUCUAUGGAGUACGGACGAAUCUAACACAGAAGGUGCUCAAGUGUCAAUUAAGAAGAGAAAAGUGAAAGAUCAAGUUGAGGAAUCACAAUCGGAGGGGGAGGCUGUUUCCACAUUUCUCGGGCAUACACAAUGUGUAUCUUCUGUGAUUUGGCCAGAGCAUGAAACAGUAUAUUCUGCAUCAUGGGAUCAUUCUGUCAGAAGAUGGGAUGUUGAGACAGGCAAAGAUAUAACAAACAUGUUCUGUGGGAAAGCUCUCAACUGUCUAGAUGCUGGAGGUGAAGGUUCUGCAUUAAUUGCUGCUGGUGCCUCAGACCCAAUCCUUAGAAUAUGGGAUCCUCGUAAACCAGGAACUUCUGCUCCAGUGUUUCAGUUCUCAUCUCACACUUCCUGGAUCUCGGCUUGCAAGUGGCAUGUGAGAUCAUGGUUUCAUUUACUUUCUGCCUCCUAUGAUGGAAAAGUAAUGUUAUGGGAUCUAAGAACUGCGUGGCCUCUUGCAAUCAUGGACUCUCACAAGGACAAGGUACUUUGUGCUGACUGGUGGAAAGGUGACAGCAUUAUAAGUGGCGGGGCAGACUCGAACCUUCGCAUUUCUUCUAACAUUCCUGUACAAUGAGAAAUCAUAACCAAGUUAAUUGAGUGCUGGUAUCCCUUGCUGUAUGAAUAGUGGAAGUUGUAUUGCACCUAUACACAAUGGGUUAGUAAUGAAGCUUGGACCUUUUGAUUGGGAUGGGAUUGCACGAAUAUUAUUUCUACUGGAGCAGUAAGUUUAAUUGUCCUUCUCAAAGAUCCUGAAACACAGAAACAAAGUAGCAUCAUCCAAGUCAAGAUCCUCAAAUACAACAAACCCUUCUCCUUACUUUCUUCAGCAUUUCUCUCAUAAAAUACUUACAACUUUCAAGUCAUCAAAUUCCAAAUUGAGAUGAAGUCAAGACUUUUAUUUUGAUUUCCUUGUGCAAGAAUAAACGGGACAUUGCCACCUUUGAUGUUAUAUUGAUGUGACUGGGUGUAUAUAUAUAUAUUUCAUGCAAGAGGUAGACAAGUGUCUUUUUUAAUAGAGGAAGGGGAUGUUGGGAAGCUCGAAUUCGAGAACUCUAUGAGAUAUUACACACAUAAGUGUCAUCUGAGUUAUU
RNA transcript from Tripterygium wilfordii, 2418 nucleotides. It is a transcript of the gene named ribosome biogenesis protein WDR12 homolog, with no coding region annotated. Lineage: Eukaryota; Viridiplantae; Streptophyta; Magnoliopsida; Celastrales; Celastraceae. The transcript has 15 exons. The record is from RefSeq and is a predicted model, not a curated record.